Molecule: ribosomal RNA, 685 nt
Filed under: Methylorubrum zatmanii
Lineage: Bacteria; Pseudomonadati; Pseudomonadota; Alphaproteobacteria; Hyphomicrobiales; Methylobacteriaceae
Description: bacterial SSU rRNA
Rfam family: Bacterial small subunit ribosomal RNA
Source: RNAcentral
UCAGAGCGAACGCUGGCGGCAGGCUUAACACAUGCAAGUCGAACGGGCACCUUCGGGUGUCAGUGGCAGACGGGUGAGUAACACGUGGGAACGUACCCUUCGGUUCGGAAUAACUCAGGGAAACUUGAGCUAAUACCGGAUACGCCCUUUUGGGGAAAGGUUUACUGCCGAAGGAUCGGCCCGCGUCUGAUUAGCUUGUUGGUGGGGUAACGGCCUACCAAGGCGACGAUCAGUAGCUGGUCUGAGAGGAUGAUCAGCCACACUGGGACUGAGACACGGCCCAGACUCCUACGGGAGGCAGCAGUGGGGAAUAUUGGACAAUGGGCGCAAGCCUGAUCCAGCCAUGCCGCGUGAGUGAUGAAGGCCUUAGGGUUGUAAAGCUCUUUUGUCCGGGACGAUAAUGACGGUACCGGAAGAAUAAGCCCCGGCUAACUUCGUGCCAGCAGCCGCGGUAAUACGAAGGGGGCUAGCGUUGCUCGGAAUCACUGGGCGUAAAGGGCGCGUAGGCGGCCGAUUAAGUCGGGGGUGAAAGCCUGUGGCUCAACCACAGAAUUGCCUUCGAUACNGGNUGGCUUGAGACCGGAAGAGGACAGCGGAACUGCGAGUGUAGAGGUGAAAUUCGUAGAUANUCGCAAGAACACCAGUGGCGAAGGGCGGCUGUUNNNNNNCGGUCGACGNUGAGGCG